This is a long non-coding RNA of Carassius carassius (crucian carp), 549 nucleotides long. RefSeq lists it as uncharacterized. NCBI's taxonomy places the organism in Eukaryota, Metazoa, Chordata, Actinopteri, Cypriniformes, Cyprinidae. The record is from RefSeq and is a predicted model, not a curated record. The transcript is spliced from 4 exons.
UCAAGCAUGAAUACAGAGAUAAGUAUCCUGCAUUUAAGAUGGCUUAUAUUAUAAAUGUAUUGUUAUAUGUGUUAGCUUGUAAUACUGUCAUGUUCUGUUUGCUAAAGCUACUGUAUGAAUGUUGAAACUUUCUACAGAAAAAAAAAAAAACUUUUAAUGUCCCUUAACUUAUUUAGAUGAAACGAUGAAGUUGCUAUUUGACAAUGGCUUCAAACAAAGAGAAAUGUGCUCUUUUCUUGCUGCUUCUCUAUACAAAAUCAGUGAAAGGCAUCUAAGAAGAAGAAUACAAUCCCUUGGUUUAAAAUGGAGGAGUUUUGACAGGCCCCAUAAUGAAAUUCACCAAGCUGUUAUGAGUGAGCUUAUGCACUGGUCACCUUGGCAAGGAAUCCGUGCAAUGCACAAAUAGGUUUCUGAUGUCAAAGGAAUCCAGCCUUGCUACAGGAAUGAUGUGGCUGUAUUAAUGAGAGAACUUGAUGCCAGUGGUCUUCUUAGAAGAUGUCCUGGAAAAAAAUAAUCGAACGCAGGAACUACUUCAGCCGUGGACCAAAU